Ruditapes philippinarum (Manila clam) is the source of this 464-nucleotide long non-coding RNA. RefSeq lists it as uncharacterized. Lineage: Eukaryota; Metazoa; Mollusca; Bivalvia; Venerida; Veneridae. The record is from RefSeq and is a predicted model, not a curated record. The transcript is spliced from 3 exons.
UAAAAUGAUAUCUAAAUAUUUUAGGAUACAGGCGCAAUCGAUUGUUACAGCGGUUCCCAAGCUUGUAAUGUGUCUGGUGUUUGUGAAAGCAUUGACGUUCCCCAAAAUACACCGUGUAAUACAGGAAAUAAUUAUGUGUGUGAGUAUGGGUUUUGUGUGAGCAACUCGAGCCAAAGCUCUAGCUCCAGCACAUCAACAGGUUUGCAGACGACAACAGUUACACCUUCUUCUACAACUGGAUCCACCAAGAAGCCAGACGAUUGUGUUGUAGAGACUGGUUAUGUAGAGUUUGAUCUUCCAGGGUGUGGUUGUUGUGGAGGGUGUGGCUGUGAAAAGACGUGUUCACAAUGUGAACCUGGACUUCCGGCAUAUAACCAAAGUGAAAGCUGCACCAAGGAAGCUAACUGUUGUGGGUCUAAAGUUAGAAUGAGAACAUUGUACGUAUUCUCUUCAAAAUUGUCAAA